Molecule: non-coding RNA, 76 nt
Organism: Parelaphostrongylus tenuis
Lineage: Eukaryota; Metazoa; Nematoda; Chromadorea; Rhabditida; Metastrongylidae
Source: the annotation of a GenBank genome assembly
GUUCACUUCACUAGUGCAGUAGCAGCACGCGUCUCUGGUAAGGAUGAAACGCGGGUUCGAUUCCCUCCUGAGACCA